This 508-nucleotide ribosomal RNA is filed under the name uncultured bacterium. RNAcentral's name for it is "partial 16S ribosomal RNA". It matches the Rfam family "Bacterial small subunit ribosomal RNA", at positions 30 to 523 of the family's 1533-position model. The record is from RNAcentral.
AUUGAACGCUGGCGGCAUGCCUUACACAUGCAAGUCGAACGGCAGCGGGGGAGAAGCUUGCUUUUCCUGCCGGCGAGUGGCGAACGGGUGGGUAAUACAUCGGAACGUGCCCUGUAGUGGGGGAUAACUAGUCGAAAGAUUAGCUAAUACCGCAUACGACCUGAGGGUGAAAGUGGGGGACCGCAAGGCCUCAUGCUAUAGGAGCGGCCGAUGUCUGAUUAGCUAGUUGGUGGGGUAAAGGCCUACCAAGGCGACGAUCAGUAGCUGGUCUGAGAGGACGAUCAGCCACACUGGGACUGAGACGCGGCCCAGACUCCUACGGGAGGCAGCAGUGGGGAAUUUUGGACAAUGGGCGAAAGCCUGAUCCAGCAAUGCCGCGUGUGUGAAGAAGGCCUUCGGGUUGUAAAGCACUUUUGUCCGGAAAGAAAUGGCUCUGGUUAAUACCUGGGGUCGAUGACGGUACCGGAAGAAUAAGGACCGGCUAACUACGUGCCAGCAGCCGCCGUAA